RNAcentral lists this ribosomal RNA (227 nucleotides) under uncultured bacterium. Its description in RNAcentral is "partial 16S ribosomal RNA". It matches the Rfam family "Bacterial small subunit ribosomal RNA", at positions 15 to 230 of the family's 1533-position model. The record is from RNAcentral.
GAUCCUAGCUCAGGAUGAACGCUAGCUACAGGCUUAACACAUGCAAGUCGAGGGGCAGCAUGGUCUUAGCUUGCUUAAGGCCGAUGGCGACCGGCGCACGGGUGAGUAACACGUAUCCAACCUGCCGUCUACUCGUUGGACAGCCUUCUGAAAGGAAGAUUAAUACAAGAUGGCAUCAGUGAGUCCGCAUGUUCACAUGAUUAAAGGUAUUCCGGUAGACGAUGGGG